Molecule: transfer RNA, 73 nt
Filed under: Candidatus Dojkabacteria bacterium
Lineage: Bacteria
Description: tRNA-Gly
Rfam family: tRNA
About the family: Transfer RNA (tRNA) molecules are approximately 80 nucleotides in length. Their secondary structure includes four short double-helical elements and three loops (D, anti-codon, and T loops).
Source: RNAcentral
GCGAACGUAGUUCAAUUGGUAGAACGCAUCCUUGCCAAGGAUGAGGUUGCGAGUUCGAGUCUCGUCGUUCGCU